GGGAAACUUAAUGGCCAAAUGGAGGUACUAUGAAGGCUGCUCUGAAAGUAAUGCCUCCUGUUCUGUUAUUUUGGCCCACCAUGUCAGAGGUUGAUGGUGGUAUGGCAGUAGAAGUUGAGUCUUCGCUCCAGUAUUCCACUACAUGUUGUUGCCAUGUAACGGAUGGCAGUAUGGGGGCAGUCUGACAAAGUGGCAUCUGACUUGGAAGUGCUUAUGAAACAAAGAUAUGGAAUUGAAUUUCUCCAUGCAAAAGAAUUUGCACUCGUUGCCAUUAGUUGAUGCUUGCUGAAUAUUUAUGGUGACCAAACAAUGGAUGUGAGCUUGCAGCCCAGAAGGCCAACUGUGUUCUGGGCUACAUGAAAAAAGGAGUGGCCAGCAGGAGAGGGAGGUGAUUGUCCCCCUCUACUCAGCUCUUGUGAGGCCCCAUCUGGAGUACUGUGUCCAGGCCUGGGGCCCCCAGUACAGGAAGGACGUGGAGCUCUUGGAGCUGGUCCAGAGGAGGGCCCCUAAGAUGAUCAGAGGGCUGGAGCACCUCUCCUAUGAGGAAAGGUUGAGGCAACUGGGCUUGUUUAGCUUGGAGAAGAGAAGACUCCAGGAAGACCUCAUUGUGGCCUUCCAGUACUUGAAGGGAGUGUAUAAACAGGAGGGGGAACGGCUGUUUAUGAGGGUGGGUAGUAAUACGACAAGGGGAAAUGGUUUUAAACAGACAUGGGAGGUUUAGGUUGGAUACUAGGAGGAAGUUUUUCACCCAGAGGGUGUUGACACACUGGAACAGGUUGCCCAAGAAGGCUGUGGAUGCCCCAUCCCUGGAGGCAUUUGAGGCGAGGCUGGAUGUGGCUCUGGGCAGCCUGGUCUGGUGGUUGGCGACCCUACCCAUGGAUGGGGGGUUGAAACCGGAUGAUCAUUGUGGUCCUUUUCAACCCAGGCCAUUCUAUGAUUGUAUAGUUAUAGUGAGGCAGUGGAUGCUGCAUUUCAGCAGUGGCGACAGCAGCAUUGGGUCGCCUCUGCUGGUGCUGAUUCUUACAACAAUGACAUGUAGGCUCUUGUUCAUGACUGGCAAAAAUGCAGCCAAUGGUUGGCUCUGUGGUGAAAAACAGUGUUUUGUAUCUGCGAUUUUGCUUUCUCAUAUAAUGUUAUUGUACUCUGCUGUAAUUAAUGUGGAAAUAAGUAGGAGGCAUUACUUUUGGAGUGACCUAUGUACUAGACUUAACAGCAGUGAAAUUUGAAGUCACUUAUGACUCAAUACAUCUUAUCUAGAGAGGAGAUGAAGACCACAGCAGCAAUAGCUAUGUCCUUCUCAGCUGUAGACAGUUAAUAUUUAUUUGGUUACAUUAUAAAGACUCAAUGUAUCUUUGCUUCAUGUUUAGCAAAACAGACGUCUCCAAAAAAUAAGUUGUUAGACUUUAAUUGUAUAACAGUUGUUUGCAUUCAUAUAAAGGAAAUGUAGCCCUGGGAUUAGGGGGAUACGCUGUCAUUACUAUUGUAUAGAAUAGUUUGUUUCUGAUGUUUUAACAAAGUUCGUUGGCGAGGUAGUGGAAUUCUUUGACAGCUGCUUUCUGUGGGAGCAAUACUUGCAUGUAUCCAUCUGUAGGACUACUGUAGUGAAGUUAGCUGUUUCAAGCAAUUGGCUGGAUAUGUCUUGUGGUUCUUACGGUGGAUUGCUUGAUAAGCAAUAUUUAAUAAACUAGAAAAAUGGUAUAAUUGAACUAAGCCUGAAAACGUCUCUUAAUUCCAAGUAGAAAUGAAAUCAUUCCUACUUAGUCUUUUAUCCAAAGUUCAAUCCACAGUAUUUAAUUAAAUGUGUUUCCUAGUCAUCUUUCUCAUUUAGAAGUUGCUUCUAUUCAUAGCCACAUCUGACUCAUCUUUAAUAUGCCUACUUAGGGCUUCCCCUGAUUCAAUAAAAACCAAACUCUCAUGGUUUCCUCCUGAAUUGUAGCCGUUAGAUUCAUAAUUCUUUUGCUUCAUUGUCCUUUCUCUUUAGCAUUUAGGGUACUGUUCAUCUGCUUAGUAGGUCUUUUUAGAAGUCCUUUACCUUUGCCUGUCUCCUUUGCUCAUAGUUGAAGUGACUUGCACCCACAUGCCAUAAAUACUUUUAAGCUUUUAAUGCCUCGAGUGUACAUUACUACACUGUAAUAAGGAUUUCACUAAAUCUGUUCUUCUUUGUUGUCUCCUCAAAUUAAACUAACCAGAGGCCAUGGAGGUUUUUUGUUAUUAGGAAAAGAAGGAGUCAUAAUAGAAGUAUUUGCCAAGUCAUAUCAGGGAGCUAAUUCUAAUGGGGUUUUGUGAAUGUUCUUGAAUCAUAAUGGUAAAACGACAGGAAGUGGGAAUGGCAAGGAUCAUUUCCUGAAGAGUUGUGGCUUGAAAUGAAAUGAGCCUUAUCUUCCCCCUUUUGCCCAUCUAAGCAACCUCCCUUCCAAAAGUUUUGAGUUUUAAGCCUAAUCUGUGUGAUAAAUGAGCAUUCACUGAUUUGAAAAUUCUGCUGUCUGUGGUGCAAAGUAGCAACUGGUGACUUUGAAAGUUUUCUACAUUAUUACUGCUAUGUUUUACACCACCCCUUAUCAUGUCCCACUGCCAGUCAUAGAAUCAUAUGAGUUGGAAGGGACCCUUAAAGGCCAUCUAUAGCUCGAUCAGGUUACUCAGAGCCCAUCCAGCCUGACCUUGAGCUUCUGCAAGAAUGAGGCAUCCACCACCUCUUUGGACAUCCUGUUCAGUGCCUCACCACCCUUAUUUAAAAAACAAGUUCUUCCUUAUAUCCAACCUAAAUCUCUCCUCUGUUAGUUUGAAACCAAUUCCCUUUGUCCUGUCACAACAGGCCCUGCUAAAGAGUGUCUGCUUCUUUCUUUUGUCUUAAAUCUUUCUUAUAUUUUUAUUUCUCACUAUCUAAAGGUGGUGGGUGAGGCCUUAGAUACCGAAAGAUCAUUUUCAUAGCCCUCCUCUGGAUGUGCUCCAACAGAUCCAUGUCUCUCCUGUACUGAGGAAUCCACGUCCAGAUGCAGUACUCCUGCUGAGGUCUCACCAGUGCAAAAUAGAGGGGAUGAAAGUUACCAAAUGAAAGAAGACUCUAGAUGUCAAUAUGGACACGGUACACAUUCCAAAGAUUAGCACAACUGCUUAAAGAUCAGGUUCUUAUGGAAUUAAAUGGAAAUCAUACAUUAGAAAUAAGUGGUUCUGUCUAGGUUGGUGUGUUGCACAGAGGCCAAGAGUAAGUGCUAACACAAGCUAUAGGUGUGUGGUGUUGAAACUCAGUGUGAUAGUAAAACAUACUUGUUUUACUUUAGCAGAAGAAAGUUGCAUGUGCAAGUAGUUCAGUGUAAUAAGAGGAUUAGGAGCUUAACUGUAAGGCUAUACUUAGUGCGUGGCUGUACCUCUUCUGGAUGAGAAGAUUACUGUGCCCAACCACUCAUUACCACCUUACCAAUAGUAGUUUUCUGGGAUGUGUAUUUGAUGCCUAGCCAAGUUUUGUCAAAGUGACCCAGAUGCUUUUCACAGUGGUGGUGUUUUGUUUUUCUAACCCAGUUCUUAGCCGAAAAGGUCAUGGAAGUUUUCUCUGAAAUUUUACAACCUAAGCAUUGCUCAUUGCAUAAAUUUGUUAGAGAAAGCCCCAUUCUCUUCCUUGGUGCUUGAACAAUUGGUUUUCAGGAACAACUAAACUGUUAACACAUUAUUUUAAGCUUUACAAAUUGGCCAGCUACAUAUUUUAUAUGCAUGUACAUAUACAUAUAUAAAUUUUAUACUAAUAUUGCUAGAUGUAUGGAGCCAACUUAUGGGAUACAUUAUUUGACUGAUUAUUGGGAUGAGCUGUGUAAAGACAAUGUAGGACACUUGAAUUGUAUUAGUAAUAUAAGCAGCCUUAUCCUUACUAAUGACUUGUAUGGAUUGCAAUAUGUUGAGUCACUACUGAGGUCUAUGGCGAGGAAUUAAACCUGUCAUUUCUGCCCCAACAACUGAAAAGAGAAAUAACCUAGAAACACUUUGAGUGCUGAGUUUUUAAUAGAAUCUAUUAUGGAGUUUAAUAGAAGCUAUUAUGGAGUAUUACGGAAAUAUGGAGUUACUGCCUCUUUCAUUAUAUCAACAUGGGUGUUUUGGGAUGCUCAAGAACUUGAUUUUGUCUAUAGGACUGAAGCUUAAUCAUUGUUCUUGUGGCUUGAUAAGUUGUUAAUAGUAACUCUUUUUACUUGACCUUAAUGUCCUAUCUAACGUGAGAAAGCAUUAAAAAACAAUAGAAAAAACAGUACAGUGCUUCAGUAAGCAAGACAAAUAAAAACUAUAGGCCAUCUGGAAUCAAUACUGCUGUAAUUAUGCUAACUGAUGUAAAAUAUUUGUGUAUAUAUAUUCUAUGUAAGGUCACGGAUGUUAUUUUUUUAUGAGCAGUAGGUCAUCCUGUUGGUAGUAUAGGAAAAGUUCUUCACUGAGGCGGUUGUUUAGCUUGUAUUGAAAUUGUGUGUUACACAAUGUCUUCGUGUGUUCUGUAAUGCUUCAGGUUUGAAGAUUUUUUCCUUAGGUGAACUCUACUGGCAUUUCUUGAGAUGAUGUAUUACUUUUUUCUCAGUCAUAAAUUCCAUAAUUCCUUAUUACUGUAUUUGGCUUUCAGCUGUGUACUUUACGUGCCUAAUUUCAUGGAUUGAUUGCAUGUUCCUGUUUCUUCCUAAGAGUGCCUGCUUUUGUGGGAGCAGAUUCCUCUGUCUCUUGCUUCUGAACCUCUGGUUGGCAGGUUAACGUUUGCAUAGGAGGCCAUCCCUAGAGAAUACUAGUAGUCAUAAAGCCAGCUGGAGCCAAAACAGAAAAUUAGUAGAAAAUGGAGGGAGCCGGGUGGUGGUAAAACACCAGAUACCUUGAAGAAAACUUGCUUUGGAAAGAAGGUGAUGUAAAAUGGGGCUCAAAGCAAAGCCCACCUGGCAUCAAGAUGCUAGACUGCAGAACACACGGAACAACUAAGGACCUCAUCAGCUCUUUCUAAAGGAUACUUGUUGUAUUACAGUAACUGAUAGGCUUUUUUUUGUGUUUCAGACUGUUUAUUAAGCUAUUGCCAAAAAGAGAUCUGUAUAAGUAUCUGUAUAUUCAUUAAGACUUACUAAUUCUUCCUUCCUGUUCUUGACGAGAUGGCAGAGAUUGGUGCAACACUGUCCUGGUCUUUCACUGUGAACUGCUCAUCUGUGUAAAACAUUUCAAAAGACCUGUAGGUCCUUCAAUUUAUUCAGUGACUACUGUACCCUGCUUUGCCUCGAGAUAAGUCUGUGUCCAGUCUGUCUGUAAACAGAUGGAGGUUUUUAUUUCCAGACUGUACUACCUCCAAACAAGAUGACUUCUGCCUGGUCUAUUUGAAAGCUUUGUCAUUCUGCAUCUGUAUAAAUAGGCCCUCAGGAGGACAGAGGUGAAAAGUUCAAACUUAGACAAACCGUAUGUUUGUAUUUGUGCGUCUUAAUUAGUCCAGGCUUAAUUAACCUGUAAAUCCUUCUACAGACAUGGGACCUAGAUCCUAGCCUACUACUGUGUUGCCACGUUGCAUCUGAGAUCCCCUAUUUCUUGAUAGGAAAAGACAAUCUUUAUGUAAGCCCUUUGUCUAAAAACACCCGUGAUCUAAAGCUGAUCUAUAGAAGCAUGAUCCAACAAGAAACAAAUAAUUAACUUCUGAAGUAACACAGAGCUCUGUCAUUCUGUACAUAAGUUGAAAGUUUCGUAAUGCUACGGUCAUGUUUUAGCAUAGAUACUGAUACAGUGCUUGCCAAGGUGGCUUAUGUGCUGGCAUGCUGGGGAAAUUUAAUUGGCUGAUGGACAGUUGGCAGAAUUACACUCUUCAUUCUGCUGUUUCUUUACUAUGAGAGUGGUGAGGUGCUGGAACAGCUGCCCAGAGAGGCUGUGGAUGCCCCAUCCUUGGAGGUGUUUAAGGCCGGGUUGGAUGGGGCCCUGGGCAGGCUGGGCUGGUAUUAAAUGGGGAGGUUGGUGGCCCUGCCUGCGGUGGGGGGGUUGGAGAUUCAUGAUCCUUCAGGUCCCUUCCAACCUGGGCCUUUCUGUGAAACUGCUAUGCCACUGGAUUAUGAACUCAAUGUGGUUUUAAAAAGCAUCAUUCAAUACCCAAGAACUAGACAAUGUUGGUGCCAAUUGCUGUGUGUAGUGUUAUUUUGUGUUAGGGAUUUAAUUUAUCCUAUUGUUGAACAGGAAGAAAUGUGCGAAUAAGGUCUGUAUGGACAAACUAAGCCAUUACAGAUCAAUCAUAAUGUGACCUUAUCCAGAGGGGGAAAUGGAAAAGUAAAGGAGUUAACUUCCCAUUCAGCUUUCCUACCCAAAUCUUACCGUGUUUUCUAAAGCAGUGAAGGCAGUGAUAGUCGAAUGAGGACAAAGAAUCACUGCUGUUUUUCCUCUCACGGUUCCUCUGAAGUUACAACGUGGUAACUUGCCAUGGAAAGGGGUUGUCAGGAGGCUUGGACAGAGGUUGGUAGAUGACAGCACUUUCAUGAUGCCAUUUGUCUCUCACUUCUACAUUAAUUAGAAGCAUGCAUGCGUUCAAGUGUUUUCACUGCUUUGUGAAUAGGGAAGAUUUUCCUGGAUUAAUUCCAGGCGUGCAGGUUAACAUUUUUCUGUGUAGGGACAAACGAAGGUGGGGUCACCGCUGUGAUUAACUGCUCAUUGUUCUUGCUUGGUAUUCAUCAGGGACUCCUCCUUGGAGCAAAGAGUAAAGAAGAUGCUUUUUGUCUCGUGAUAGCUCUUUUCCAUUGAGAGCACUGGCUACCUUUGAAUCUGGGGGGCAUAAAUAGGGGCCAGCUAUCAGACUGUUAGAGGUGUAAUGUGCAGUAUUGUCAGUGAGGAGAAAAUGGGUGGGUUUUUUUGUUAGGUUUGGUGACAAAAAUAAUGGAACUACGAUUCUACCAUUGCCAAAUGUUGGCAGCUGGAGCCUCAGUCAUUAUAGAAUUUAGAAGAAUGGAAUGUUGACAGCCUGUAGAAGUUAGGGUUUUAAGUAUUUGAUGACAGUUGAAUGUGUUAUGAGGGUGGAUAGUGAUAGGACAAGGGAGAAUGGUCUUAAAUUGAGACAGUGGAGGUUUAGGUUGGAUAUUAGGAGGAAGUUUUUCACCCAGAGGGUGGUGACGCACUGGAACAGGUUGCCCAAGGAGGCUGUGCAUGCCCCAUCCCUGGAGACAUUCAAGGCCAGGCUGGAUGUGGCUCUGGGCAGCCUGGUCUGGUGGGUGGCGACCCUGCACAUAGCAGGGGGUUGGAACUCGAUGAGCAUUGUGGUCCUUUUCAACCCAGGCCGUUCUGUGAUUCUGUUUGUCCAUUGCACUUCUAACACGAUGCUGUUUUUCCAAAGACCACUCUGGCACAGCAGCAGAAAUGCAUGAAUUCUGGUAUUGAUUGUAUUUCACAAACAGUGAAGAAGCCAUUUCAGUAUAUUGUGUUAGGGGAUGGCAGAGCACCUUCCUGUGCUGGUUUAGGAGACAAAGUGGAGAGAUUAUUUACUUUCAUGAAUUUUUUGUGCUUCCAAGAAAAUGAUGCAGCUUCAAACCCAACAGUCCUCCAGAUUCCCCAGCUCCUUGAGGAAGUCAGUAGUGCUGUUCCUGCCUUGAAUUCUCCUCAGGCUUUUUCUUUUUUCUUUUAGUUGCUGUUAACCACGUGUGAGUGACUUCCCUGAGCAUUGUGAUGCGGAGGGGCUCUGUCCUGCAGGACGGCUGCAUGGUGAGGUGCUGGAACAGCUGCCCAGAGAGGCUGUGGAUGCCCCGUCCAUCCCUGGAGGUGUGCAAGGCCAGGUUGGAUGGGGCCCUGGGCAGCCUGGUCUACUGUUAGAUACAGGCAUUGGUGGUCCUGCCUGCAGUGGGGGUGUUGGAGCUUCAUGAUCCUUCAGGUCCCUUCCAACCCAAGCCGUUCUAUGAUUCUGUGAUGCCGCUGUCCAGGGCUGCCUCGCACACAGGCAGCACAGCACUCUUCAGACACAUAUAUGGGGCCUAAUGCCUUUCCUCUUUAUUUUUUGUUGUACGGCUGCCAGUACUGGAGCCCUGGGGAGACAAUCCCA
This 7999-nucleotide long non-coding RNA is filed under the name Gallus gallus (chicken). The record is from RNAcentral. Lineage: Eukaryota; Metazoa; Chordata; Aves; Galliformes; Phasianidae.